CUCCAUCCACUCAGCCAUUCUAGCCAGAUUGUUGGUAAACCUCUGUGGUAGCAUGUCAUGCCAAUCCAGUUCAUUUCUAGUGUUUACUUCUUAGUAUUUUUUUGUGUCACCAGUUUUCCCUAAGGAUCACCAUUCACCCAGCUGCCUGCUACGCCUGCAAUGCCUGCUAUGCCUGCUCUCUGCGCUUCCCUUUGUUAUCUGCCCAUCUCAGUUCCUCUACUUAAACCCCCGGAUUCUUAUUCCUCACCAUCUGUUCCAUAUCCUAAUGUGAUAUUGCCUGAAAUAGGAUGUAAAACACCAGAGGUCUCACCACUGAAGUCUCUGAGGAGAAGUCUCAAGAAAAAUGACUGUGGACAUGGUGCUAUUUAUGAGGUGAAGCUGAAGAGAACCAUUGCAGAAUAUCCACUCACAACACAAGAUCUUUAUCAUGUCAGUAAAUAACCUGCUUCCAUGGAUAACACAUUGCAACAGUUGCCCUCCUUAACCAGAACCACAUUGACCCUGCCUUUGAACACAGCACACCGAGAGCAGAUCUACAUGUAGAAAAGAACUAAGUGGGUGC
Plectropomus leopardus (leopard coralgrouper) is the source of this 562-nucleotide long non-coding RNA. RefSeq lists it as uncharacterized. Lineage: Eukaryota; Metazoa; Chordata; Actinopteri; Perciformes; Serranidae. The record is from RefSeq and is a predicted model, not a curated record.